Molecule: ribosomal RNA, 460 nt
Filed under: uncultured bacterium
Lineage: Bacteria
Description: partial 16S ribosomal RNA
Rfam family: Bacterial small subunit ribosomal RNA
Source: RNAcentral
CCUACGGGAGGCAGCAGUGAGGAAUAUUGGUCAAUGGGCGCGAGCCUGAACCAGCCAAGUAGCGUGAAGGAUGACUGCCCUACGGGUUGUAAACUUCUUUUAUAAAGGAAUAAAGUGAGGAACGUGUGCGUUUUUGUAUGUACUUUAUGGAUAAGGAUCGGCUAACUCCGUGCCAGGAGCCUCUGUAAUAAGGAAGAUCAGAACGUUAUCCGGAUUUAUUGGGUUUAAAGGGCUCGUAGAUGGAGUUUUAAGUUCGUUGUGAAAGUUUCCGGCUCAAACGUCGAAUUGCAGUUGAAACUGGCAUUCUUGAGUGCGGUAGAGGUAGGCGGAAUGCGUGGUGUAGCGGUGAAAUGCUUAGAUAUCACGAAGAACUCCGAUUGCGAAGGCAGCUCACUGGAGUGCAACUGACGCUGAUGCUCGAAAGUGUGGGUAUCAAACAGGAUUAGAUACCCUUGUAGUC